GUGUAUGACCAUACCACCCUUAACUCACCUUAUCUCAUCUGAUCUCAGAAGCUAAGCAGGGUUGGGCCUGUUUAGUACUUGGAUGGGGAAAAGUAGAUCAGAGUGAGUGGCAGGAUUUAAAAUUA
This 125-nucleotide ribosomal RNA is filed under the name Jaculus jaculus (lesser Egyptian jerboa). The record is from RNAcentral. Lineage: Eukaryota; Metazoa; Chordata; Mammalia; Rodentia; Dipodidae.